Betta splendens (Siamese fighting fish) is the source of this 958-nucleotide long non-coding RNA. RefSeq lists it as uncharacterized. The record is from RefSeq and is a predicted model, not a curated record. Lineage: Eukaryota; Metazoa; Chordata; Actinopteri; Anabantiformes; Osphronemidae. The transcript has 3 exons.
UGUACCGCCACACACACACACACACACACACACACACACACAUUGCACAAGUGUUUGCAUUAUAGAUGUGCGGAGGGACAACAUACCUGGAGCUAAUCACCAGGAAAUGAAUUUCAGGCGAUGCAGGCGAGUGGCGAUUGAUUGUCUUCCACUCGCAUCGCUGUGAUGCCCACGGGGGGGGAGACGCGCAUCCGCGUUGGCGUGUGCAGCUUUGAGCUACACGGGAAGAACACGAGAGGAAACUAGCAGGAGCCAUUUGCAGGCGUUGGUCCCGCGUCGGAUGGCGGCGUUUCCUCCUGGGGAGAAGCGUGAUCGUGAUGAAAGCGUAACAACGCGACAGUCCUGGGAGCCGCCGCUUCACAAUAUUUUGCAGAUGCAGCUGGCUCCUUCAGACCAGCGGGUUUCCUGUGGGUCCUUUCCCUCAACCUGCUCCAUCCUGGUGACCUCCAUUACAGACGUGACCCCAGGCGGUGACCGGUAAUCGCCUUUAGAGACGCCCUCUGUGCUGGGGGUGGCUAUGUGGGACGUUAGGGGUCCAGCCUCGGUCUGUGGGUCUUCAGCGCUCCAGACGGGUUCUUCACGGCCGAGCUGUGCCCGGGGCGGCGCCGUCUCCCCGCCGGGCCCCAGCAGGGCAGAGGCAGGCGGCGUGCAAGCACCAGCAGCACAACAGCACUUUAUUUCUGUGUCUUAGUUAACAGUUAAAUCAGUCAGAUCCGAGCUUUCACAAUAAACCUUUCAGUAAAAUGCACAGUGAAUGAUGUUAUGCUGAAUGGAUUGCUUAACAAUUGUUGAAAGUAGCUGAAACAUUGAAAACACAGCUUGAAGUAGCUAAUGUAUUGAAUGCAUAGUUGAAUAUAUCUAACGAUCUGGUUUUUAAAUAGAGCUGAAUGUACAUGAAGGAAGCAAAAACGAUUUUAAUUUAAUUUAAUUUUUUAAUUUUAAUUAAAAUAAUGAUAAA